Long non-coding RNA from Orcinus orca (killer whale), 670 nucleotides. RefSeq lists it as uncharacterized. The record is from RefSeq and is a predicted model, not a curated record. The transcript is spliced from 2 exons. Lineage: Eukaryota; Metazoa; Chordata; Mammalia; Artiodactyla; Delphinidae.
AGAGGCGGUUACUGCCUUUUCAUAAUUCUCAGCUGGCGAAAGAACUUCUAAGGAUUCGGGGCCUACCUUACGAAUAUUUAAGUCAUGAGCUGUGGCCACAGUGUACAACUGCUGACCAGAGAACUCACUUAUUUAAAAAUUAAGAGAACGUGUUUUGUUGUUUUGGUAACCACGGAAGGGGCCGGAGAAAGCGAAGGGAAGGCUGCAAACUGCGGAAACCCUGCGUCGCCUUCCCGGUGGCCGCCCCCUUAGGACCCGAAGCCACCGGGCAUCAAGGACAAAUGCGAGAGUCGAGGACAAAUGCGGACGCGGCUCCUCAGCGCGGGGGAGGGUUCCUGGCCGGUGGGGUUCCCUCUCUCCCCUCCCGUCCCCACCCGGUCGCGGCGCUGCCGCGAGCGACAAUACCUGAGGACAGCUUCUGAUCCGCGGCGCCCAUCUCAGCCCAGCUUCCGGCCUGCACGUAGGCACAUGAUGCCUGGAUCUGCAGCUGCUAUCUUGCAACCAUGAGGAAACACGAUUAAGGAUGAAAAACCAACAGCUAAAAAUGGAAGAAUAGAAAAAUAGAAAACCUGAGAUACUGAAGUUAGCAUUGAGCAGCUGAACCAAUAUCUGCAAUCACCUACCUCUGGACUCUUGUCAUAGGAGGAAAAAUAAAGCCCUAUUGAUUCAA